Long non-coding RNA from Pantherophis guttatus, 679 nucleotides. RefSeq lists it as uncharacterized. NCBI's taxonomy places the organism in Eukaryota, Metazoa, Chordata, Lepidosauria, Squamata, Colubridae. The record is from RefSeq and is a predicted model, not a curated record.
AUGGUUCAAUGCCUAAUUUUCGGAGAAGUUUCUGCUUUUGUCAUGGACCUGUCUGAACCUUAAGAAACCUGUCAGAUGAUGGCAGUGAUUGAACGGAGGGAGAAAUCUGAGAAUUGCAACUGUUCCUAAAAUGACUCCCAAUUCCUGGUCAGCACCAGGUGGCCUCUGUCUAUAGCCAGUUCUCCUUUUGGAAGGUAUUCUGCAGAAAAGGAAUCCAGUCUUCCGGUAUAUUCCAGCAUCCAGGGCUGUCUAUAAGAUCCUGUUGCAGAAUGAAUUCUGCAAACAAACAGAAUCCUGGCAUCACCUUGCAAACCCCACCCCUUUAGAGUCAUGUUUGCAAUAUUAUGAAACACAUAAAAAAGGAUUGAGGCUUCCAUCAUGAAUCCCAAUGCUCAUUUUCACCAAUCUGGUCCCUGCUUGUUUGUCCUGCAAACUAUGUCGGCUGGCGACACCCAGGGGGAAAGCCUUCUCUGUGGAAGCUCCUGCUCUUUGGAACGAACUGCCCCCGGAAAUACGCACAAUCUCUGACCUCCGAGUUUUUCGCUGUGCCCUCAAGACCCUGCUCUUCCGACAGGCAGGGUUAUCUUUGUAAAGGAAUUUUAAAUUCGGAGUUUUAAAUUUUUGGGUUUUAACGAAUCUUGGCUGUAAAUGUAAUAAUUUUAAUAAUUUUUAAAUUUAA